GCAGCAUGAUAUACUCGCUUCUCUGCCAAACCAAUAUCUGAAAGUAACAAAUUACCCUCAUGAGCCAUCAACCUCCGAACAUUCUCAGCAUAAAGUCUAGGGUCAUCCUUUUCUUGCUGAGAAGGGUAGUAAACAGGUAACCAGGUUGCCUCCACGUAAUUUACAAAUUGACAGAGAAGGAGAAUCACAUGCCGAGCCCCAGAUAUAGAGUCCCAUGCAGGACUUAAUCUCUGGUACGGAUAUCUUAGUAUCACAGGUUGCACUGGAGCCCCUGAGAGAAAUGCGCCACUCUUGAAUGGAAGGAGAAAAUCACCAUUUGUGGUUGUGCCCUCUGGAAAAAGCAGCAUGAUUGGUGCAGAUUUGUUCUGGUGAGCUUCACGAAUCCUUUCAUUUACAACACCUGAGACACCUUUAAAAUCAGGUGAUUUAGAUUCCCUCUGGACAUAGACACAGCCAAGGCACUUGCUGAUUAGACCAACCAGAG
Molecule: unclassified non-coding RNA, 484 nt
Filed under: Hevea brasiliensis (rubber tree)
Lineage: Eukaryota; Viridiplantae; Streptophyta; Magnoliopsida; Malpighiales; Euphorbiaceae
Source: RNAcentral